This 730-nucleotide ribosomal RNA is filed under the name uncultured archaeon. RNAcentral's name for it is "partial 16S ribosomal RNA". It matches the Rfam family "Archaeal small subunit ribosomal RNA", at positions 614 to 1338 of the family's 1478-position model. The record is from RNAcentral.
GGUACCCCCAGGGGUAGGGGUGAAAUUCCUGAUAAUCCCUGGGGGACCACCAGUGGUGAAGGCGCCCGGCUGGAACGCGCCUGACGCUGAGGGGCGAAAGCCGGGGGAGCGAACCGGAUUAGAUAUCCCGGGUAGUCCCGGCUGUAAACUAUGCGGGGCCAGGUGUCGGGCGGGCGUUAGAGCCCGCCCGGUGCCGCAGGGAAGCCGUUAAGCCCGCCGCCCGGGGAGUACGGCCGCAAGGCUGAAACUUAAAGGAAUUGGCGGGGGGGCACACAAGGGGUGGAGCCUGCGGCUCAAUUGGAGUCAACGCCGGGAACCUCUACCGGGGGCGACAGCAGGAUGACGGCCAGGCUAACGACCUUGCCCGACGCGCUGAGGGGAGGUGCAUGGCCGUCGCCAGCUCGUGCUGUGAAGUGUCCUGUUAAGUCAGGCAACGAGCGAGACCCCCGCCCCUAGCUGCGACCCUGCGGGCGACCGCGGGGGCACACUAGGGGGACUGCCGCCGCUAAGGCGGAGGAAGGAGGGGGCCACGGCAGGUCAGCAUGCCCCUAAACCCCCGGGCUGCACGCGGGCUACAAUGGCGGGGACAGCGGGAUCCGACCCCGAAAGGGGGAGGCAAUCCCUGAAACCCCGCCGUAGUUGGGAUCGGGGGCUGAAACUCGCCCCCGUGAACCUGGAAUCCCUAGUAACCGCGCGUCACCAUCGCGCGGUGAAUACGUCCCUGCCCCUU